UGGUUAAGUGACUAAGCGUAC
Molecule: ribosomal RNA, 21 nt
Filed under: Vibrio splendidus
Lineage: Bacteria; Pseudomonadati; Pseudomonadota; Gammaproteobacteria; Vibrionales; Vibrionaceae
Description: partial 23S ribosomal RNA
Source: RNAcentral